This 430-nucleotide ribosomal RNA is filed under the name Pseudomonadota bacterium. Its description in RNAcentral is "Proteobacteria bacterium partial 16S ribosomal RNA". It matches the Rfam family "Bacterial small subunit ribosomal RNA", at positions 355 to 776 of the family's 1533-position model. The record is from RNAcentral. Lineage: Bacteria; Pseudomonadati; Pseudomonadota.
UGGGGAAUAUUGGACAAUGGGGGGAACCCUGAUCCAGCCAUGCCGCGUGUGUGAAGAAGGCCUUAUGGUUGUAAAGCACUUUAAGCGAGGAGGAGGGUACUGGUAUUAAUACUACCAGGUACUGGACGUUACUCGCAGAAUAAGCACCGGCUAACUCUGUGCCAGCAGCCGCGGUAAUACAGAGGGUGCGAGCGUUAAUCGGAUUUACUGGGCGUAAAGCGUGCGUAGGCGGCUAAUUGAGUCGGAUGUGAAAUCCCCGAGCUUAACUUGGGAAUUGCAUUCGAUACUGGUUAGCUAGAGUGUGGGAGAGGAUGGUAGAAUUCCCGGUGUAGCGGUGAAAUGCGUAGAGAUCUGGAGGAAUACCGAUGGCGAAGGCAGCCAUCUGGCCUAACACUGACGCUGAGGUACGAAAGCAUGGGGAGCAAACAGG